GGCCACAACUGUGGCAUGUGGAGGUUCCAAGGCUAGGGGUCAAAUCAGAGCUAUAGCUGCCAGCCUACGCCACAGCCACGGCAACUUGGGAUCUGAGCCGUGUCUUCGACCUAUACCACAUCUCACAGCAAUGCUGGAAUCUUACCCACUGAGUGAAGCCAGGGAUCAAACCUACAUCCUCAUGGUUGCUAGUCAGAUUCAUUUCCAAUGAGACACGAUGGGAACUCCUGUCAGUCUCUUUUCUAAAUUUGGAUCUGCUUCUAACAUUUCAUCCUUUGUACUUGCAAUAACAUGAAGUAUCUAAGAGACCCCCCUAAUGUGUGUGUAGGCUUUUUUUUUGGGGGGGGGUGUUUUUUGCUGGCAUCGUUUCCUCUAAGACAACAUCUCUUUGUCAUUUUCCACAUUUAUGGCAUAAGUUCCUAAAUUCUUUUGGUCCCUUAUCUUGAGUCUCUAGACAGGCUCCAAUGUCAACAUUCCCAUACUCAGCUGUAUUUCCUAAUAUCCAUUGACAUUCAGUUUCAAUUUUGCUUCCUCCAUUGUCACUUUUUGUUUCUUCUCUUCCAUUUUGGUUGGCAAUUCAUUCCACUAAUUACCUAUUUGUGUACAAUGUCAGAUUGCUUAUCAUUGGAAGACAAGGAGGCAACCCAACUAUAUACUUUGCUGCUUGUGAGCAAACUAAGUAACAGACGCACAGACCAAUCACCGACUGAGUUUUAAAGAAGUGACAUGAUUGUGACAGUGAGGCACAUAUUUAAGAAGUGACAAGCUUCCUAAAUAUAUGCACUGAUGACCUAGCAGUAAAAUUUGUACUUCGUGCAAGUACAGUUCACACACUAGGGUUAACGGAAAUCUGAAUCAUGUUGCUGGAGGAGACUGAUUUUAUUUAACUAAAUUGACAAAAUUUUGUAACUGAAAUUCACACAUAUUGGAAUCCUGCAAAAUGAAGACUAGCUGUGUUAUCUUUGUGAUUCUUGGGACUGGGUCUUACACACCUGUAACAGUGAAAUGACAGCACAUUUGAAAGAAGGCAACACUGAUUUUAUUCUGCCAAACUAUUUUUUUCAUCUUGUGAAAUAGUAGGGUUGUAGUCACAGGGAGGAUUAUUGUUUAGCCAUUUCAUUGAAAAUCUAGCCCACAUAUCUUUUCUUCUCACCCCUACAGACCUGCUCUUUUAGGUUCCAUCUAGUUUACAAAGUAGUAAUGAAGAUAUUUCCUGUCUUCAUGAAAAACACUUCCAUCCUCUCCCUGCCCCAGGGAGGAAAUGGAAAGAGAAUGCUUAUCCAUCACAACAGGAUGUAGAGCCGUGUACCCAGGUCCUCCCCCAUGUGCCAGAUUUAAUGCAGUCAUAACCCAGGCACAAAUCUAAGCAAUAUGCCAUAUGUGUGGUCCUCAGGAGAAAUCAGAACAAGCCUGCAGGAAGUUAGGCAGGGCAGUAAGCCUCAAAGACAUUGAAUAUUCAUCACCACAAUAUUGCAUUUCCUUUGUAGCUUGGUUUUCAUGGGACUCUGUGUACACAUUAAUGUAGAGGGUGCAUUUGAGGGGCAUGGAGCCUGCAUUCAUCUCAUCCUGGUGCAGAUGUUAUUGUUAAAGUGAGAAGAGGAAUACCAGGAGGUAGAGGUACAUGAAAAGGGAAGAGCCAGGACUGCCAGGAUCAGAGUUCAUCCUAAGAUCAUCAUCACAGUUGUACAAAAGUUUAUAGUGAAGGGAGAGUAUCUUUGUUGGCAUUUCCAAGAGGCAGAUCCUGAAUGUAAGUAUUUAAUUUGGGUGGUAAUGCCAUCAAGAUCAGGAGAAUGGAUAAAUGAAUCAUGGACAGCAAGGAAGCAAUACAGAAUCCUUCAAUGAGCAGGUUGCGAAUGUAGGCAACUGGGGCUCAGUCACCCUGUGGACCUCCGUGAAGUAAGGGAGAAUGUGCCUCAGAGUUGUGUUACUCAAGGGACAAGAAAGCUCUUGAAGACAGCUCAGCCUUCUGGUUGAGGGCUACUUGCUAUCCUUCAACUUCUCAGCACUUACUAUCUCCUCUGCAUAUAGCAGAACAUACCCUAAGAGGCUGAAGAAGCCUGAAGGAAGAGAGUCAUAAAUUCUUACAGUAAAACCCACCUGAAGUUUAUAAAAUGGUGAGUAUCAAUGGAUAAAGGUAGGGUAUCAACAGUGUCCAGCAUUGGGUUACGGCCAUGUUCUAGGCACUAUUCUAAGUACUUUGCAUGUAUUAACUCAUUAAUACAUGAGAGGCUAUAAAAAAUUUACAAGGUAGGCACUAUUAUAAUAUUUUUAUAAAUUAGGCCCAGAGAAGUUAAGUAACUUGCCCAAGCUCACAGGCUAGCAAGUGGCAGAAGAAAAAUUAUAAACCGUAUGUUAAGGCUCCAUAUAAUCUUUGCACCAUACUGCCAACAUUCUCUGCAAUGCAUGCUUGAUUGUCUCUAUCUAUUUCCUUUGUUUUUCCACAAAAUCUUGCAGAUUUUUAAGGCUUACUGUAUGGCUGUGGAAUAGCUUCAUUUUUAAAUAGGAUAAAUAGGGAGAACAUUUAAUGGAGCAAGGCAUUUUACUCAGGGUUCCCAAUAGCAUAAGGUACUAGCCAACUCUGGACAGGAUACCUGAGCUUAUAUAUGAGAAAGAAACAUUCUUUUCUUAUUUAAGCUACAGUGGUUGGGAAUCUUGUCAUUACAAUUGCCCAAUCCAUAUACUAACUAAUACAAAGGAUAAUGUUGGAGUUUUCAUUUCAGCUCCCAGAUACCAAACACAAAAGACAGGUGGACCCAGUCGCUGCCUGAGACCUUACAAGGAGGUGCUGAGUUAGCAUCUGUGUACCUGCAUUCCUGGCCUGGUUGGGUUGUUUGUGCAUGUUUCUUCUCCUACUUUAACUAAAAGAGGGUGCAGCCUCUUCUAGAAUUUCCUUUCCUUGUGCAAGGAGCUGGUACAAGAGACAACAUGAUUAAGUCCUCUUUGGCUCCUUCACGAGUCACUGCUUGAUUUCAAGUCUGCCUCACCAAACCAGUCCUGAGGUCUUCAUGCCCAGAGCUGUCAGCAACCCUCCCACUUUCUGUUUACGUUGGCUUGUGUCACUGUGCCAUGCUGUAGGUGUCGGCUAAAGCUGUUUACUGGCUUUAUUUAAAAACACCUUGAGGUGUUCUUAAAAUUCUGCUUUGAUUAGCAAUACAAACAAGUAUGGCAACGGGGCAAGAAAGUAUUGGAUAUAAAUGAACCUAACAAAAUCCCACAGAACAGCAUGAAGAAACUUUGAAAAAAUGGUGUAUUAUUUAAACCCAAUAUUACACAAACACAUAUACAUACGUAUAUGUAUAAUUUCAGGAUAUCUUACAUUUUUACCAUACCACAGGCCACGUCCCGGGCUAAGUGUAACUCCAGAGCAUAUUUUUUAGGCUUAAGCAACAACUAAAAAAUAGUAAUCAAAAUAUUAGUUUAAUAUGCUUGAAACAUAACAGCAUCUAAAAUAAGAUUCUUAUUGCAAAAGCCACACAUGAGCUUCACUGCUCACUUUUAUAGGGUCAGUGAACAUGUGAGGGUGAAAUGUGAGCAGAACCAGACUAUACAAAGCAAAGGGCUCAAAAAUCAGUUCACACAGAAUCAGCAACUACCCAAGUUAAAAAAAGCACUUGUCCAGCCUCCAGGAAACAAAGGCACAAAGAGAAGAAGAUCACAGAGCUGGUCAGUGGCAGAAUCAGGACCCAGUUCUCCUGUCUUUUACACUGCACAGCAGUUAACAGUCUCCCUCCCUCUGUAUUCUUACUUCAUGAUGAGGCACUGACUUACACUCCCUCAUUCUCCACCACCCUCUUAUUUUCCAGAGUCAUGCCACCCUGCCACCUGCCUUACCUAACUCUGACCCAUGGGGUCUGGCCACCUGUCUGCCUUAAUAUGGGUGUGGAUCCAUCAGAAAAGAAAGUUAAAGAGGGAAGUCAGGAGGGGAGUGAGGCAAGCACACUCCUCUGACAGGAGAACCCAGCACUGCCUCCCUUCUACAGCCCAAGAAUAACAUCCAGGCAUCCACAUGUCUGCCUCCCACAAGCUGACACACAGUGUCUUUGUCCUAGAUUGAAAGUAUCAGCACUAGAGACCACGUCUAUGUCUUCUCUCUCCCGAGAGUUAAAUGAAGCUAGGAAGUAUUUCUAGAAGUCACAUGAAACAGGAGCUUGCAACCCAAGCAGAAGAGUGCUAUGUGGGUUUUGUUCUCCCUAUGUGAGGGUGACUCUACAGGAAAGCAGCUUGCUAGAACCAAGGCACUAACAUUCUCCAGCCCAAAUUCAGAGUGACCCACAAAAAGCCAACACUGAUGCAGCAUGAGUUCCUUCUCCCUGGAAAAAAAGGGUCUUGCUCCUGAUGAGCUGGGAGGGGACAGGGCAAGAGUAUAAACAGUUCAUGGUAUGUGUUCCAGUCAGUAAUAAUGUCUAUCCCCAACCCUCACCCCAGGAGCAUUUCUUAAUAUAACAUUUGAUCAUUGCUUAAACAGAUUACAAUUCCAAAAAAACACUUAGGAGCUUGGUGGUAACGAGCACCAUUCAGUGGUGGUUCUAGUUUACAACUUUAAAAUGUUAAUCACACUGAUGUAAACCCCAGAAAAGACAAGAAAUGGAGGAAAUUAACAUGUGGUACAUUGGCAUUGGUUUUGUCCAAUUAGUUUUGGUAAUCUAAAUGUGUUCUCAAAGCACCUCUUAAGGGGAACCAAAGACAUGUGACACGUUUAAAGUACUGCAGCCCUACAUCCUCUGA
Molecule: long non-coding RNA, 4725 nt
Filed under: Sus scrofa (pig)
Lineage: Eukaryota; Metazoa; Chordata; Mammalia; Artiodactyla; Suidae
Description: lncRNA (ENSSSCG00005017610.1)
Source: RNAcentral